This 468-nucleotide ribosomal RNA is filed under the name uncultured bacterium. RNAcentral describes it as "partial 16S ribosomal RNA". It matches the Rfam family "Bacterial small subunit ribosomal RNA", at positions 28 to 507 of the family's 1533-position model. The record is from RNAcentral.
GACGAACGCUGGCGGCGUGCUUAACACAUGCAAGUCGAACGGAAAGGCCCUGCUUUUGUGGGGUGCUCGAGUGGCGAACGGGUGGGUAACACGUGAGUAACCUGCCCUUGACUUUGGGAUAAAUUCAGGAAACUGGGGCUAAUACCGGAUAGGAGCUCCUGCUGCAUGGUGGGGGUUGGAAAGUUUCGGCGGUUGGGGAUGGACUCGCGGCUUAUCAGCUUGUUGGUGGGGUAGUGGCUUACCAAGGCUUUGACGGGUAGCCGGCCUGAGAGGGUGACCGGCCACAUUGGGACUGAGAUACGGCCCAGACUCCUACGGGAGGCAGCAGUGGGGAAUAUUGCACAAUGGGCGGAAGCCUGAUGCAGCAACGCCGCGUGCGGGAUGACGGCCUUCGGGUUGUAAACCGCUUUCGCCUGUGACGAAGCGUGAGUGACGGUAAUGGGUAAAGAAGCACCGGCUAACUACGUG